UACGUAGGGGGCAAGCGUUGUCCGGAAUUAUUGGGCGUAAAGAGCUCGUAGGUGGUUUGUCGCGUUGUCCGUGAAAACUCACAACUCAAUUGUGGGCGUGCGGGCGAUACGGGCAGACUGGAGUACUGCAGGGGAGACUGGAAUUCCUGGUGUAGCGGUGGAAUGCGCAGAUAUCAGGAGGAACACCGGUGGCGAAGGCGGGUCUCUGGGCAGUAACUGACGCUGAGGAGCGAAAGCGUGGGGAGCGAACAGG
RNAcentral lists this ribosomal RNA (253 nucleotides) under uncultured bacterium. RNAcentral describes it as "partial 16S ribosomal RNA". It matches the Rfam family "Bacterial small subunit ribosomal RNA", at positions 524 to 776 of the family's 1533-position model. The record is from RNAcentral.